This 560-nucleotide ribosomal RNA is filed under the name Filimonas zeae. RNAcentral describes it as "partial 23S ribosomal RNA". It matches the Rfam family "Bacterial large subunit ribosomal RNA", at positions 1 to 581 of the family's 2925-position model. The record is from RNAcentral. Lineage: Bacteria; Pseudomonadati; Bacteroidota; Chitinophagia; Chitinophagales; Chitinophagaceae.
UUUAAAGCGAAUAAGGGCGCAUGGUGGAUGCCUAGGGUCUGAGAGGCGAUGAAGGACGUGGUAAGCUGCGAUAAGGCAGGGGGAGCUGCACACGAGCGUAAUAUCCCUGCAUUUCCGAAUGGGACAACCCAGUACAUUGAAGAUGUAUUACCCGCAAGGGAGCCAACCCGGAGAACUGAAACAUCUAAGUACCCGGAGGAAAAGAAAAUAAGAAUGAUUCCCAGAGUAGUGGCGAGCGAAAAGGGAAGAGCCCAAACCAAAACAGCGUGCUGUUUUGGGGUUGUAGGACUUCGUUUAGAAAGUAAUGUCAAGUCGAACCAUCUGGAAAGUUGGACCAUAGCAGGUGAAAGUCCUGUAGACGGAAAUCAUUAUGGACGAGAAGUAUCCUGAGUAGCGCGGGACCGGAGGAAUCCUGCGUGAAUCUGCCAGCACCAUCUGGUAAGGCUAAAUACUCCUCAGACACCGAUAGUGAACCAGUACCGUAAGGGAAAGGUGAAAAGCACCCUGAACAAGGGAGUGAAAUAGUACCUGAAACCGUGCGCCUACAAGCGGUCGGAGCC